CCCAGGGAAAUAGCCAGUCUGUGGGCAGAACCCGGAGUCUGGCCGCCCGUGGUCCCCACUCCUGGCAGGACUCAGAACCACCAGGUCACUAGGGGUCCCUGAGGGGCAGACAACAGGCACCUCUCACCUUCCAGCACUCACCUGCCCCAACCGCCAACCUCAGAUGUCCACGCCACUGAGACGCAGGAGCUCUCAAAGGCAGAACAGGAGUUCGCUGAGGAGGAGCCCCUAAGACACACACCAGGUGUAAGCACUUGGAUCUUCUCAGACCAACCCACAAGCUGUCGGCUUAAGGAUUCUAACUGGAAGCUUCUGUGUGUACAGAGCUGGGCUUCCGCACUUGCUCCUGUAAGCUUGUCUGUCCGGGACCUCCUGUAGCCCCUCCACCCGGCCGGCCCGCACCUCCCCCUGCAGCCCCUCCCCUCCACUGGGCCCGCACCUCCCCCUGCAGCCCCUGCCGCCUCCUCCCUCAUGGCUGCUGCCCGCAGACCCCCCACCUGUGGUGCUCCUUGCCCUGAAGUCUGCAUGGCCCACGGGGAAAAUCCCAGCUCCCCAGCAGCAUUGGCACCCUCUGAGGGUGGCCCUCUGUGCCAUCCCCAUACCCGCCUUCCCUCCUCUCUACUCUCUUCUAGAACCUUCCUGAACUUCCUGGCCCCGCCCCGUCCACCUCCAGCCCUGCCUCCUCCCUGGAGCCCCCGAGCUGUUCUGAACCAGUGCCCCCUACACCGACCCCCUGUCCCCUGCCUGGACCUGCGUCCUUCGGGUGUUGGUUCUGUUUCCAUCCGCCCCCCACUCUCUCCUUCCCUUCAGCCGGGCCCAUGUCCCCAGGCUUGGGGAUUCGCUGACGGUGACCACCAGAAAGUCCCAGCACUCGAGCUUGGCUGAGUCCUUAGGAGCCCUACCCGGCUGUAGCCGUGUCUGCUUUAAUAAAAUGCAAAACACUUCAUUUCUUUUUCAGUUUAAAAGCAAAACGGUUCGUCUCAAGAGUUCAUCUCAGGAGACAAGGACUGUGCCGAGUGUCGCCUCCUGCCUGGAGUGACCCUGACCCUGGGCGGGGACCCCUGGGCCUGCCGUCAGCCAGCAGAGAGAGGGAGCUGCACCAGCCUCUCACAUGAGCAGGAGCACCUAUGGAGCACCUGCUGCAUGCAGUGGGAGCAGGGAGAGAGGAGAUCUCUCGUAAUGCAGCCAGGUGGUGUCCGGGGGACUGAGGCCCACCAGCGCCUCCACCUUUUCCCGGCCUGACGGCGAAUUCCGGUGCUGCUUCCUCAGCCCUGGCUCAGAUGCCACCCUGCCGCUGCAGGAUCUGCCUUCUGCUCUGCAUCCUGGCUCUGUCAUCAGCAGCCCUGGUCUCAAGGGGAGGCCCUCUGGGCGCACCGGCUCCCGCGUGUCUCAGAGGCUAUGCAGACAGGAGUCCCUGGACUGGGCUGUGUUAGCUGGGGCUCCUUCCCUCCAGCAAUGAGUCCCCAGAUCGUCUCCCUCGUGUGCCUCAGUUCUCAAAGGUCCCGGCAGCCCCUCUGUGCCAGGCAGUGGCCCUGCGCCAGCAGCCUCCUCCCACAGCCCAGGAGCUGGAGGAAACAGCUCAGCCAAGCCCUGCCGCCAGCUAGAGCCCGGACUCCCUCCUUGACAUUCAGAGCUGCUGAGUUUUCCUGCGCACGGUUGGUUUGACAUUUGCAUUGGAAUGGAUUUAUGUUAACUUCCUCCCUGCUGCUGGCUGGAGACCAAAUCCUCCGGGUUGCUCAGGCAGUGAUCCCCGGAUGGGCCGCCCGCCUCGUUGCCUGCCCUGCCACAGGGAGGCCCUGGGACCUGAGACCACCCAGGCGCAGACUCGGUGCUGUGCAGCUCAUGGAGCGCCCCCACCUCUGCCCCCAGCGAGCCCUCCAGCCCCCUUGUCUUGGAAGGACGCAGCUCCCCUUCCUGGCCCUCCCCCAACCCCAAGUCCUCUCCCAAGAGCUGCUUCCUCUAUGAAGCUUCCCUGAGCCGCCCUCUUGGAGGGUCGCUGUUCCCUGGAGAAUUCUGACCACACCUGGCCCCUCCAUCAUUUCAUGGACGCAGCCCUGGUCAGCUCCACUUGGGUCGGGGCUGACGCGGCUCAUUCCCUUGCGCCCCAGCGCAGCACAGGACAGGCUAUUCACCUGGUAUCCAAUCCGCCUGUGCUGUAUGCUCCCUGCAGCCGGGAGCGGCCACCACGCAUCCAUCCACCCUUCCGUCCUCCCUGAGGGCCGGCACUGCCUCCCAGAUCCUGCUGCGUACACAGCAGGUGCAGAAUGGGUGCUCGCUAACUCCAUGGGAAGACGGGGUGUCAAACCUGCAGCCACUGGCUUCUGACAGGAGACUUGCUGAGAGCCUGCAAGUCCCACAGGCCUACUGGGGGGCUGUGCACUGAGAGCCUAGGGGGCCACAGCUCAGCCCUGGCACUCCCUGCCCACAGCAAGCAUCGCCCCAGGAGCCGGGCCCAGCCUGCACCCCCCACGCCGGCCCUGCUCCUUCCUCCUCUAGGCCCAGGCGUCCGCCUGACGCAUGUCCACCAUGUUCACCUUGGCUGUGUCACACGUGAGAAGACUGAGGCUCAGUGAGGGCCCAGCAGAGCAGGUGGAGCUGGUCAGCCCGGCUGUGCCCUGACAUGUGGGGGUGGGGGGUGUGGAAUCUUAAUGAGGGAAAAGGAGUUGGGCUGGCAGGACUGAGGGAAGGCAAAAAGAAGAAGCAAAGAAGCUUUAAGUCUGCCCUUCUUCAUUGUCCAGGACACACAGCCCUCCUGCAGAAAUAACUUACAGUCUUCCUGCGCCCGGCUAUCACCAGACCCUUGGCUGAUAGGAGAAUGGAUGUUAGCUGAGUGCAACCUUGGCGUUAUCAGCACUGCCCGUGGCCCUCUCUGGCACACAGCACAGGCACCGUCCUAUAACAUUCCCAGCAAGCCCUCAUCUCUUUGCAGCGGCUCCUCUCUUGCUGACCUGCCGGUUGCUUCCGUGCUAUGCACUUUUCCUACUUUCUCUAAUAAAUCUGCCUUUCUUUACGUA
Long non-coding RNA from Nomascus leucogenys (northern white-cheeked gibbon), 3014 nucleotides. RefSeq lists it as uncharacterized. NCBI's taxonomy places the organism in Eukaryota, Metazoa, Chordata, Mammalia, Primates, Hylobatidae. The transcript is spliced from 2 exons. The record is from RefSeq and is a predicted model, not a curated record.